This 590-nucleotide ribosomal RNA is filed under the name uncultured Staphylococcus sp. RNAcentral describes it as "bacterial SSU rRNA". It matches the Rfam family "Bacterial small subunit ribosomal RNA", at positions 26 to 597 of the family's 1533-position model. Lineage: Bacteria; Bacillati; Bacillota; Bacilli; Caryophanales; Staphylococcaceae. The record is from RNAcentral.
UGAUGAACGCUGGCGGCGUGCCUAAUACAUGCAAGUCGAGCGAACGGACGAGAAAGCUUGCUUCUCUGAUGUUAGCUGGCGGACGGGUGAGUAACACGUGGAUAACCUACCUAUAAGACUGGGAUAACUUCGGGAAACCGGAGCUAAUACCGGAUAAUAUUUUGAACCGCAUGGUUCAAAAGUGAAAGACGGUCUUGCUGUCACUUAUAGAUGGAUCCGCGCUGCAUUAGCUAGUUUGGUAAUGUGUAACGGCUUACCAAGGCAACGAUGCAUAGCCGACCUGAAGGGUGAUCGGCCACACUGGAACUGAGACACGGUCCAGACUCCUACGGGAGGCAGCAGUAGGGAAUCUUCCGCAAUGGGCGAAAGCCUGACGGAGCAACGCCGCGUGAGUGAUGAAGGUCUUCGGAUCGUAAAAUCUGUUAUUAGGGAAGAACAUAUGUGUAAGUAACUGUGCACAUCUUGACGGUACCUAAUCAGAAAGCCACGGCUAACUACGUGCCAGCAGCCGCGGUAAUACGUAGGUGGCAAGCGUUAUCCGGAAUCAUUGGGCGUACAGCGCGCGUAGGCGGUUUCUACGUCUGAUGUGA